CUUGCUAGUUGCUGACGAGUGGCGGACGGGUGAGUAACGCGUAGGAAUCUACCGAGUAGUGGGGGACAACAGUUGGAAACGACUGCUAAUACCGCAUAAUCCCUGAGGGGGAAAGGAGGGGAUCUGUUUACAGACCUUUCGCUAUUUGAUGAGCCUGCGUGAGAUUAGCUAGUUGGUGAGGUAAUGGCUCACCAAGGCGACGAUCUCUAGCUGGUCUGAGAGGAUGAUCAGCCACACUGGAACUGAGACACGGCCCAAACUCCUACGGGAGGCAGCAGUGGGGAAUCUUGCACAAUGGAGGAAACUCUGAUGCAGCGAUGCCGCGUGAGUGAAGAAGGCCCUUGGGUUGUAAAGCUCUUUCGUCGGGGAAGAAAAUGACUGUACCCGAAUAAGAAGGUCCGGCUAACUUCGUGCCAGCAGCCGCGGUAAUACGAAGGGACCUAGCGUAGUUCGGAAUUACUGGGCUUAAAGAGUUCGUAGGUGGUUGAAAAAGUUGGUGGUGAAAUCCCAGAGCUUAACUCUGGAACUGCCAUCAAAACUUUUCAGCUAGAGUAUGAUAGAGGAAAGCAGAAUUUCUAGUGUAGAGGUGAAAUUCGUAGAUAUUAGAAAGAAUACCAAUUGCGAAGGCAGCUUUCUGGAUCAUUACUGACACUGAGGAACGAAAGCAUGGGUAGCGAAGAGGAUUAGAUACCCUCGUAG
This 699-nucleotide ribosomal RNA is filed under the name uncultured bacterium. RNAcentral's name for it is "bacterial SSU rRNA". It matches the Rfam family "Bacterial small subunit ribosomal RNA", at positions 77 to 793 of the family's 1533-position model. The record is from RNAcentral.